Long non-coding RNA from Vicia villosa (hairy vetch), 976 nucleotides. RefSeq lists it as uncharacterized. Lineage: Eukaryota; Viridiplantae; Streptophyta; Magnoliopsida; Fabales; Fabaceae. The record is from RefSeq and is a predicted model, not a curated record. The transcript has 3 exons.
UCCUCUUCCUACGCAGAAAACUUAAACCUUCUUCCUCAUCCAAACCUACAGUGUCACAGUCAACAACACUGUCGGCCAUAACGCCACAACACCGCCGUCCAUCAUCACCAUUCACCACCGCCGUCCAACAUCACCACCGCCGUCCAUCAACAGGAAAAUGGCAUCAUCUGAAACACCAUCAUCACAACCACCAUCACAAUAAGCCUCUUCAGCUUAAAGUCUAGUUCAAACUAAUGUUAGAGGAAAGACUGAUAUAGCUUAAGAAUAUGUGAUACUUCUUGAUUUGUUAAGAAUGUAUAUUAUUGUUUGAUUCCUUAAUGAUUUAUAGGACUAGGAAGAAACAAAAUUAUGAUCCUAUCAAUUUUGAAACACUUGGUGAUCAUUUUAAUUGAGUGUUGGAGGAUUCACCACCAUUCUUGACCAUUGAAGAGGUGAAAGCACUACGCAAAGAUCUUGCUAGUAUGACAAUCCAACCUAUUUCAAAUGAUAUUGAUGAAUUAAAUUUGGACGAGCUUGACAUUGAGGGGGAUGCACAACUCAAUUCUGGAGAAAAUAACCAGAGUAAUGAUAUCAUUGAUGGGGGAGAUGUUGCAAAUGCGAUUGAUUUUGCCGCGGAUGGUUUUGAUAUUGAAGGAGAUCCCAUUAUUGAAAUAAUUUUACCUCCUUGGAACUAAAUUUAAUAGAUAUUGGAGUAUUUUUGUUCUAAAGUACUCAAUCAGAUUAUGUUGCGAUUAGACUUUGUUUGCAAUUAAACUUUGUAAUUUGUACUACUUUGUUAUGUGUAAUACUUAUGUUUAAAUUUGAACUGAAUUUGUGAUUUUUAAGUGCUGAGUAAACUAUGCCUUAAACCAUAUGGAUUAUUAGUAUUUUCAGCACCUAAUGCACAACUUUUGAAUUUGUGAUUUUUAAGAGCCAUAUUUAUAGAUUAUGUUGUUAAUGGAUCAGCUUUUAAGUGCUAGUUAAAUUUUUUUUUUAG